UCCUGACUGACCGAUAGUGAACCAGUACCGUGAGGGAAAGGCGAAAAGAACCCCGGCGAGGGGAGUGAAAAAGAACCUGAAACCGUGUACGUACAAGCAGUGGGAGCACGCUUAGGCGUGUGACUGCGUACCUUUUGUAUAAUGGGUCAGCGACUUAUAUUCUGUAGCAAGGUUAACCGAAUAGGGGAGCCGAAGGGAAACCGAGUCUUAACUGGGCGUUAAGUUGCAGGGUAUAGACCCGAAACCCGGUGAUCUAGCCAUGGGCAGGUUGAAGGUUGGGUAACACUAACUGGAGGACCGAACCGACUAAUGUUGAAAAAUUAGCGGAUGACUUGUGGCUGGGGGUGAAAGGCCAAUCAAACCGGGAGAUAGCUGGUUCUCCCCGAAAGCUAUUUAGGUAGCGCCUCGUGAAUUCAUCUCCGGGGGUAGAGCACUGUUUCGGCAAGGGGGUCAUCCCGACUUACCAACCCGAUGCAAACUGCGAAUACCGGAGAAUGUUAUCACGGGAGACACACGGCGGGUGCUAACGUCCGUCGUGAAGAGGGAAACAACCCAGACCGCCAGCUAAGGUCCCAAAGUCAUGGUUAAGUGGGAAACGAUGUGGGAAGGCCCAGACAGCCAGGAUGUUGGCUUAGAAGCAGCCAUCAUUUAAAGAAAGCGUAAUAGCUCACUGGUCGAGUCGGCCUGCGCGGAAGAUGUAACGGGGCUAAACCAUGCACCGAAGCUGCGGCAGCGACGCUUAUGCGUUGUUGGGUAGGGGAGCGUUCUGUAAGCCUGCGAAGGUGUGCUGUGAGGCAUGCUGGAGGUAUCAGAAGUGCGAAUGCUGACAUAAGUAACGAUAAAGCGGGUGAAAAGCCCGCUCGCCGGAAGACCAAGGGUUCCUGUCCAACGUUAAUCGGGGCAGGGUGAGUCGACCCCUAAGGCGAGGCCGAAAGGCGUAGUCGAUGGGAAACAGGUUAAUAUUCCUGUACUUGGUGUUACUGCGAAGGGGGGACGGAGAAGGCUAUGUUGGCCGGGCGACGGUUGUCCCGGUUUAAGCGUGUAGGCUGGUUUUCCAGGCAAAUCCGGAAAAUCAAGGCUGAGGCGUGAUGACGAGGCACUACGGUGCUGAAGCAACAAAUGCCCUGCUUCCAGGAAAAGCCUCUAAGCAUCAGGUAACAUCAAAUCGUACCCCAAACCGACACAGGUGGUCAGGUAGAGAAUACCAAGGCGCUUGAGAGAACUCGGGUGAAGGAACUAGGCAAAAUGGUGCCGUAACUUCGGGAGAAGGCACGCUGAUAUGUAGGUGAAGUCCCUUGCGGAUGGAGCUGAAAUCAGUCGAAGAUACCAGCUGGCUGCAACUGUUUAUUAAAAACACAGCACUGUGCAAACACGAAAGUGGACGUAUACGGUGUGACGCCUGCCCGGUGCCGGAAGGUUAAUUGAUGGGGUCAGCGCAAGCGAAGCUCUUGAUCGAAGCCCCGGUAAACGGCGGCCGUAACUAUAACGGUCCUAAGGUAGCGAAAUUCCUUGUCGGGUAAGUUCCGACCUGCACGAAUGGCGUAAUGAUGGCCAGGCUGUCUCCACCCGAGACUCAGUGAAAUUGAACUCGCUGUGAAGAUGCAGUGUACCCGCGGCAAGACGGAAAGACCCCGUGAACCUUUACUAUAGCUUGACACUGAACAUUGAGCCUUGAUGUGUAGGAUAGGUGGGAGGCUUUGAAGUGUGGACGCCAGUCUGCAUGGAGCCGGCCUUGAAAUACCACCCUUUAAUGUUUGAUGUUCUAACGUGGACCCGUGAUCCGGGUUGCGGACAGUGUCUGGUGGGUAGUUUGACUGGGGCGGUCUCCUCCUAAAGAGUAACGGAGGAGCACGAAGGUUGGCUAAUCCUGGUCGGACAUCAGGAGGUUAGUGCAAUGGCAUAAGCCAGCUUGACUGCGAGCGUGACGGCGCGAGCAGGUGCGAAAGCAGGUCAUAGUGAUCCGGUGGUUCUGAAUGGAAGGGCCAUCGCUCAACGGAUAAAAGGUACUCCGGGGAUAACAGGCUGAUACCGCCCAAGAGUUCAUAUCGACGGCGGUGUUUGGCACCUCGAUGUCGGCUCAUCACAUCCUGGGGCUGAAGUAGGUCCCAAGGGUAUGGCUGUUCGCCAUUUAAAGUGGUACGCGAGCUGGGUUUAGAACGUCGUGAGACAGUUCGGUCCCUAUCUGCCGUGGGCGCUGGAGAACUGAGGGGGGCUGCUCCUAGU
RNAcentral lists this ribosomal RNA (2223 nucleotides) under Escherichia coli. RNAcentral's name for it is "partial 23S ribosomal RNA". It matches the Rfam family "Bacterial large subunit ribosomal RNA", at positions 474 to 2682 of the family's 2925-position model. The record is from RNAcentral. RNAcentral also lists the same sequence under 1 other name. Lineage: Bacteria; Pseudomonadati; Pseudomonadota; Gammaproteobacteria; Enterobacterales; Enterobacteriaceae.